This 83-nucleotide transfer RNA is filed under the name Schistocephalus solidus. It matches the Rfam family "tRNA". Rfam says of the family: Transfer RNA (tRNA) molecules are approximately 80 nucleotides in length. Their secondary structure includes four short double-helical elements and three loops (D, anti-codon, and T loops). Lineage: Eukaryota; Metazoa; Platyhelminthes; Cestoda; Diphyllobothriidea; Diphyllobothriidae. The record is from Rfam by way of RNAcentral.
GGUCUCGUAGCUCAGUAGGUUAGAGCGUUGGCUGAACUAAAGCCUUCCCCUUGCUGGCGUGGGUUCGAAUUCCACCGAGACCA